GCGCGGCCUCCGCCGAGUCCGGUGCGCCCCCCGGCAACCGGAGCCGGGGACCCACACCGACCUUGGGGUGAAUCGGCCAACCGCCUUGCGCGGCACGGCCGUAGGGCACACCUUCCGGAACCCCCGCCCGAACCCGACAGCUAACCCGGUAGGCGGAGCACGGAAGGAGU
RNAcentral lists this small RNA (170 nucleotides) under Streptomyces sp. RNAcentral's name for it is "c-di-AMP sequence". It matches the Rfam family "c-di-AMP riboswitch aptamer (ydaO/yuaA leader)". Rfam says of the family: This family represents a conserved RNA structure found upstream of the ydaO and yuaA genes in Bacillus subtilis and related genes in other bacteria. The record is from RNAcentral. Lineage: Bacteria; Bacillati; Actinomycetota; Actinomycetes; Kitasatosporales; Streptomycetaceae.